Molecule: ribosomal RNA, 403 nt
Filed under: uncultured bacterium
Lineage: Bacteria
Description: partial 16S ribosomal RNA
Rfam family: Bacterial small subunit ribosomal RNA
Source: RNAcentral
GACGAACGCUGGCGGCGUGCCUAAUACAUGCAAGUCGAACGCAGUUGGGACGGGUGAGUAACACGUGGGUAACCUCCCAUCAGAGGGGAUAACACUUGGAAACAGGUGCUAAACCGAUACUGAUGGAUGGACCCGCGGUGCAUUAGCUCGUUGGUGAAGUAACGGAUCACCAAGGCCACGAUGCAUAGCCGAACUGGGAGGUUGAUCGGCCACAAAGGGACGGAGACACGGACCAAACUCCUACGCGAGGCAGCAGUAGGGAAUCUUCGGCUAUGGAAGGAAGUCUGACCGAGCAACGCCGCGUGAGUGAAGAAGGUUUUCGGAUCGUAAAACUCUGUUGUUAGAGGUGCGGUAUCUAACCAGAAAGCCACGGCUAGCUACGUGCCAGCAGACGCGGUAAUAC